Molecule: ribosomal RNA, 495 nt
Filed under: uncultured bacterium
Lineage: Bacteria
Description: partial 16S ribosomal RNA
Rfam family: Bacterial small subunit ribosomal RNA
Source: RNAcentral
GAUGAACGCUGGCGGCGUGCCUAAUACAUGCAAGUCGAGCGAACGGACGAGAAGCUUGCUUCUCUGAUGUUAGCGGCGGACGGGUGAGUAACACGUGGAUAACCUACCUAUAAGACUGGGAUAACUUCGGGAAACCGUAGCUAAUACCGGAUAAUAUUUUGAACCGCAUGGUUCAAAAGUGAAAGACGGUCUUGCUGUCACUUAUAGAUGGAUCCGCGCUGCAUUAGCUAGUUGGUAAGGUAACGGCUUACCAAGGCAACGAUGCAUAGCUGACCUGAGAGGGUGAUCGGCCACACUGGAACUGAGACACGGUCCAGACUCCUACGGGAGGCAGCAGUAGGGAAUCUUCCGCAAUGGGCGAAAGCCUGACGGAGCAACGCCGCGUGAGUGAUGAAGGUCUUCGGAUCGUAAAACUCUGUUAUUAGGGAAGAACAUAUGUGUAAGUAACUGUGCACAUCUUGACGGUACCUAAUCAGAAAGCCACGGCUAACUACG